RNAcentral lists this ribosomal RNA (494 nucleotides) under uncultured bacterium. RNAcentral's name for it is "partial 16S ribosomal RNA". It matches the Rfam family "Bacterial small subunit ribosomal RNA", at positions 28 to 507 of the family's 1533-position model. The record is from RNAcentral.
GACGAACGCUGGCGGCGUGCUUAACACAUGCAAGUCGAACGGUGAAGCGCCUUCCUUUUUGGUGGGUGUGGAUGAGUGGCGAACGGGUGAGUAACACGUGAGUAUCCUGCCCCCUUCUUCUGGAUAACCGCAUGAAAGUGUGGCUAAUACGGGAUAUUCUGGGUCUGUCGCAUGAUGGGUCUGGGAAAGAUUUUGUUUCGGUGGGGGAUGGGCUCGCGGCCUAUCAGCUUGUUGGUGGGGUGAUGGCCUACCAAGGCGGUGACGGGUAGCCGGCCUGAGAGGGUGGCCGGUCACACAGUGACAGAGACACGACCCAGACUCGUACGGGAGCCAGCAGUGGGGAAUAGUGCACAAUGGGCGCAAGACUGAUGCAGCGACGCCGCGUGAGGGAUGGAGGCCUUCGGGUUGUGAACCUCUUUCGCCAGUGAAGCAGGCCUGCCUCGUUUGUGGGUGGGUUGACGGUAGCUGGAUAAGAAGCGCCGGCUAACUACGUG